This 1518-nucleotide ribosomal RNA is filed under the name uncultured prokaryote. Its description in RNAcentral is "partial 16S ribosomal RNA". It matches the Rfam family "Bacterial small subunit ribosomal RNA". The record is from RNAcentral.
AGAGUUUGAUCCUGGCUCAGAUUGAACGUUGGCGGCAGGCCUAAUACAUGCAAGUCGAGCGGUAACAGAUCGCUAGGAUCCCUUCGGGGUGACUUUGAUGCUGACGAGCGGCGGACGGGUGAGUAACGCGUAGGAAUCUACCCAGUAGAGGGGGAUAGCCCGGGGAAACCCGGAUUAAUACCGCAUAAUCUCUAAGGAGAAAAGUGGGCUCUCUUCUUGAAAGCUUUCGCGAUAAGAUGAACCCAAGCGGGAUUAGCUUGUUGGUGAGGUAACGGCUCACCAAGGCGACGAUCUCUAGCUGGUCUGAGAGGAUGAUCAGUCACACUGGAACUGAGACACGGUCCAGACUCCUACGGGAGGCAGCAGUGGGGAAUAUUGCACAAUGGGCGAAAGCCUGAUGCAGCCAUGCCGCGUGUGUGAAGAAGGCCUUCGGGUUGUAAAGCACUUUCAGCGAGGAGGAAAGGUUGUGUGUUAAUAGCACAUAGCUGUGACGUUACUCGCAGAAGAAGCACCGCUAACUUCGUGCCAGCAGCCGCGGCAAUACGAGGGGUGCAAGCGUUAAUCGGAAUUACUGGGCGUAAAGCGUACGCAGGCGGUUUGUUAAGCCAGAUGUGAAAGCCCCGGGCUCAACCUGGGAAUUGCAUUUGGAACUGGCAGGCUAGAGUCUUGUAGAGGGGGGUAGAAUUUCAGGUGUAGCGGUGAAAUGCGUAGAGAUCUGAAGGAACAUCAGUGGCGAAGGCGACACUCUGGACCAAUACUGACGCUGAGUACGAAAGCGUGGGGAGCAAACAGGAUUAGAUACCCUGGUAGUCCACGCCGUAAACGAUGUCUACUCGGAAUUUGGUAACUUAGUUACUGGGUUCCCAAGCUAACGCAUUAAGUAGACCGCCUGGGGAGUACGGCCGCAAGGUUAAAACUCAAAUGAAUUGACGGGGGCCCGCACAAGCGGUGGAGCAUGUGGUUUAAUUCGAUGCAACGCGAAGAACCUUACCUGGUCUUGACAUCCACAGAACUUUCUAGAGAUAAUUGGUGCCUUCGGGAACUGUGAGACAGGUGCUGCAUGGCUGUCGUCAGCUCGUGUUGUGAAAUGUUGGGUUAAGUCCCGUAACGAGCGCAACCCUUGUCCUUAUUUGCCAGCACGUAAUGGUGGGAACUUUAAGGAGACUGCCGGUUACAAACCGGAGGAAGGUGGGGACGACGUCAAGUCAUCAUGGCCCUUACGACCAGGGCUACACACGUGCUACAAUGGUAAGUACAAAGGGACGCCAAACCGCGAGGUGGAGCUAAUCCCACAAGCUUAUCGUAGUCCGGAUUGGAGUCUGCAACUCGACUCCAAGAAGUCGGAAUCGCUAGUAAUCGUGAAUCAGAAUGUCCCGGUGAAUACGUUCCCGGGCCUUGUACACACCGCCCGUCACACCAUGGGAGUGGAUUGCACCAGAAGUAGGUAGCUUAACCUUCGGGGGAGCGCUUUUACCACGGUGUGGUUCAUGACUGGGGUGAAGUCGUAACAAGGUAACC